UACGUAGGGUGCGAGCGUUAAUCGGAAUUACUGGGCGUAAAGCGUGCGCAGGCGGCGCGUUAAGACAGGUGUGAAAGCCCCGAGCUUAACUUGGGAAUUGCGCUUGUGACUGGCGUGCUGGAGUGUGGCAGAGGGAGGUGGAAUUCCACGUGUAGCAGUGAAAUGCGUAGAGAUGUGGAGGAACACCGAUGGCGAAGGCGGCUCACUGGACCGGUACUGACGCUGAGGCGCGAAAGCGUGGGGAGCAAACAGG
This 253-nucleotide ribosomal RNA is filed under the name uncultured bacterium. Its description in RNAcentral is "partial 16S ribosomal RNA". It matches the Rfam family "Bacterial small subunit ribosomal RNA", at positions 524 to 776 of the family's 1533-position model. The record is from RNAcentral.